RNAcentral lists this ribosomal RNA (520 nucleotides) under Hepatozoon canis. RNAcentral's name for it is "bacterial SSU rRNA". It matches the Rfam family "Eukaryotic small subunit ribosomal RNA", at positions 290 to 803 of the family's 1831-position model. Lineage: Eukaryota; Apicomplexa; Hepatozoidae. The record is from RNAcentral.
AUAAAUCAUUCAAGUUUCUGACCUAUCAGCUUUCGACGGUAUGGUAUUGGCUUACCGUGGCAGUGACGGUUAACGGGGGAUUAGGGUUCGAUUCCGGAGAGGGAGCCUGAGAAACGGCUACCACAUCUAAGGAAGGCAGCAGGCGCGCAAAUUACCCAAUUCUAACAGUUUGAGAGAGGUAGUAACAAGAAAUAACAAUACAAGGCAAUUAAAAUGCUUUGUAAUUGGAAUGAUAGAAAUUUAAACCCUUUUUAAAGUAUCAAUUGGAGGGCAAGUCUGGUGCCAGCAGCCGCGGUAAUUCCAGCUCCAAUAGCGUAUAUUAAAAUUGUUGCAGUUAAAAAGCUCGUAGUUGAAGUUCUGCUAAAAGUAACCGGUCUGCUUUUAAUAAAAGUGGUAUCUUGGUGUGUAUUUAGCAAUGAUGUCCUUUGAAGUGUUUUUUACUUUAUUGUAAUAAAGCAUAUUCAGGACUUUUACUUUGAGAAAAUUAGAGUGUUUCUAGCAGGCCGACGCUUUGAAUACU